RNAcentral lists this ribosomal RNA (710 nucleotides) under uncultured bacterium. RNAcentral's name for it is "bacterial SSU rRNA". It matches the Rfam family "Bacterial small subunit ribosomal RNA", at positions 61 to 748 of the family's 1533-position model. The record is from RNAcentral.
GUCGAACGCGAAAGGGGAGCAAUCCCUGAGUAGAGUGGCAAACGGGUGAGUAACACGUGGGUGACCUGCCUUCGAGUGGGGGAUAACGUCCCGAAAGGGACGCUAAUACCGCAUGACAUCCUGUCUUUGGACAGACGGAGAUCAAAGCUGGGGAUUCGCAAGAACCUGGCGCUUGAAGAGGGGCCCGCGCCUGAUUAGCUAGUUGGUGAGGUAACGGCUCACCAAGGCUACGAUCAGUAUCCGGCCUGAGAGGGCGGACGGACACACUGGGACUGAGACACGGCCCAGACUCCUACGGGAGGCAGCAGUGGGGAAUUGUUCGCAAUGGGCGCAAGCCUGACGACGCAACGCCGCGUGGAGGAUGAAGAUCUUCGGGUCGUAAACUCCUGUCGAGUGGGAAGAAUAGUUUCCGGGCGAAUAUCCCGGAAACCUGACGGUACCACUAAAGGAAGCCCCGGCUAACUCCGUGCCAGCAGCCGCGGUAAUACGGGGGGGGCAAGCGUUGUUCGGAAUUACUGGGCGUAAAGGGCUCGUAGGCGGCCAACUAAGUCAGACGUGAAAUCCCCAGGCUCAACCUGGGAACUGCGUCUGAUACUGGAUGGCUUGAAUUCGGGAGAGGGAUGCAGAAUUCCAGGUGUAGCGGUGAAAUGCGUAGAUAUCUGGAGGAAUACCGGUGGCGAAGGCGGCAUCCUGGACCGACAUUGACGCUG